AUCCAGCUGACUAGUUCCAAAUAGGACAAAACGCGCGUCAAACUGGGU
Molecule: non-coding RNA, 48 nt
Organism: Schistosoma haematobium
Lineage: Eukaryota; Metazoa; Platyhelminthes; Trematoda; Strigeidida; Schistosomatidae
Source: Rfam